This 515-nucleotide ribosomal RNA is filed under the name uncultured bacterium. RNAcentral's name for it is "partial 16S ribosomal RNA". It matches the Rfam family "Bacterial small subunit ribosomal RNA", at positions 28 to 523 of the family's 1533-position model. The record is from RNAcentral.
GAUGAACGCUGGCGGCGUGCCUAAUACAUGCAAGUCGAGCGAAUGGAUUAAGAGCUUGCUCUUAUGAAGUUAGCGGCGGACGGGUGAGUAACACGUGGGUAACCUGUCCAUAAGACUGGGAUAACUCCGGGCAACCGGGGCUAAUACCGGAUAACAUUUUGAACCGCAUGGUUCGAAAUUGAAAGGCGGCUUCGGCUGUCACUUAUGGAUGGACCCGCGUGGCAUUAGCUAGUUGGUGAGGUAACGGUUCACAAAGGCAACGAUGCGUAGCCGGCCUGAGAGGGUGAUCGGCCACACUGGGACUGAGACACGGCCCAGACUCCUACGGGAGGCAGCAGUAGGGAAUCUUCCGCAAUGGACGAAAGUCUGACGGAGCAACGCCGCGUGAGUGAUGAAGGCUUUCGGGUCGUAAAACUCUGGUGUUAGGGAAGAACAAGUGCUAGUCGAAUAAGCUGGCACCUUGACGGUACCUAACCAGAAAGCCACGGCUACCUACGUGCCAGCCGCCGCAGUAA